CUGGCAUGAAUGAACAAGACCUUGUUUAGUGCAAAAACACUGAGUGGUUUUCUGUACUAGCCUCUCACGGAGGAACAAGAUGGGAACCACAGCCUUAAACCAAUUCAGGAGCUCCCCUCAAGAAACUCUUUUUUCAUAUUUUAGCUACAGCAGUAAGAUGAAUAUGGAUGGUUCCGGCCACCAGGGAGCGUGAUAGACCAGCAAAUUGACACAAUCUCCGUGGCCUGUCGGGUCCAGCAUCGCACACUAAAUAAAGAUGGAGGUGGCCGGAGUUAGAGGGAGGACACAGAAGCAGCACUACAAGAAGGAAAAUAAGGGAGAAUGGCAGGACACAGAAGGACAAAAGGAUGAGGGGAAAAGGAGAGAAGAGAAUCACAUCCAAGGAACA
This 388-nucleotide long non-coding RNA is filed under the name Mustela putorius furo (domestic ferret). Its description in RNAcentral is "lncRNA (ENSMPUG00000031626.1)". The record is from RNAcentral. Lineage: Eukaryota; Metazoa; Chordata; Mammalia; Carnivora; Mustelidae.